CGGGAUUUGUAUUGUCAAGCUACCUUCUGGUCUUUCAGGCAGUGUCAGACCAAGCCAAUUCACGUUCAUGCUACGCUGGCUGCUCACACUUGAUGUUCUGCUACCAAAUGGAUGUAGAGGAAUGGUACCAACAACCAGUGAACGUCAGAAGCUAUUCAUUCUCAAGAGUGAAACAGACCGCCCAACAUACCGUCAGUGAAUACUCCACGCGGAUUAUACUACAGUCAAGGAUUGAAGGGGAAACAGGUGGAAUUUUCAACUGUUUGCCAUUCCAGGUUUCUGUUUUGCCAGCUGACAAGGAUUCCCCACAGAGGUUGGCAACAACCUGUUUGACUUGCUUCAUUUUCCCUUUGGCAUAGAAUGCCUGUGUUUGGUAAAUGGUUGCUUUUGGCACCACCAUACGGGAAGAGCAGUUCUCAAUCUCUGCAAAGAUCUGAAUUGAUUCACCUGAAACAAAUAAACAAACAAACAAAACCACA
Molecule: long non-coding RNA, 479 nt
Organism: Columba livia (rock pigeon)
Lineage: Eukaryota; Metazoa; Chordata; Aves; Columbiformes; Columbidae
Exons: 2
Source: RefSeq, a predicted model, not a curated record